GGGGGAAGAGGGUAUAAAUACGCAUGUAAGGGCAGGGAGAGAGAUAUAGAAAAUCAAGUCAAGAAGUGGGCAAGAGAGAGGCUAUUUUCUUCCAUUAACAUUUUCUUUCUGUUUUUCCGAGUUUUCAAUCAAAAGGGUUCAUAUAGAAUCUUUCAGUAUAUUUAAUUCCUGUGUUAGCUUAUCAAGUGGUAUCAGAGCAAUCGAUCCAACCAUGACACUUACAGAUCGCGUGGGACUUUUGGAACAACAAGUCACAGCCAACCAAUCAGCCUUACAAUCGGGCAUGGACGCUCCACGGACUGACUUCCAUCAGCUGCAAGCAGAAUUGAAAGAGAAAUUUGAGCUAUUGUUCCGAUCAUGGGAAACACAAGAAAGGGAACGGAAGGAAAAGGGGGUGAUCAACCCACAGUUGUCCAACUCAUCAUCUGGAUUGAUGGGUGCGCAGGCAAGUUCGGGGGGAAACCGGGACCACGAAGGCAAAUUUGACAAUGGAGGAAGAAUGGAAUCACACGUCCGACGUUUAGACAUGCCGGUGUUCGAUGGAAUUGACCUGGACGGGUGGAUAUUCAGAGUGGAGCGAUACUUCAAGGUGAACCGGCUGACAGAGAAGGAGAAGUGGGAGGCUGCCGCCGUAUGUUUAGACGGCGAUGCCCUAGCAUGGCUGCAGUGGGAGGAACGCCGGCGACCAGUAGAUAAUUAGGAAGAAUUGAAGGUGCGGUUGUUGCGCCGUUUUCGACCUUCGCAAGAAGGCUCCCUUUGCGCGCAAUUUCUAGCUCUCCGGCAGACCACAACAGUGAAGGAAUACCGUCGGCUGUUUGAGAGGUUAGCCUCUCCAUUACGAAACCUUUUGGAGGAGAUCAUGGAAUGCAAUUUCAUCAACGGCUUGAAGCCCAGGAUUAGGGCUGAGGUUCAACUGUUGAAUCCAGUGGGCCUGGAACAGAUCAUGGACGUGGCCCAGGGUGUAGAGGAACGGGAUUUAGCGGUCCAACUUCGGCCCAACAAAGUUUAAAGGGCCGGUGAGUUUAAAUGCCCCGACAUCACAGACUUCUACUACCUUCUACAAACCGACAAUUCCUCUGAGUAUCACUCCCAACUGUGCCCUUUCUCCACCAAAGAUUCAUCCCCCCUUCAAACGGUUAACAAAUGCAAAACUCCAGGCAAAGAAGGAAAAAGGGUUGUGCUAUAAGUGUGAUGAAAAAUUCAUUAUUGGCCACCAGUGUAAAAACAGAGAGCUCCAAGUCAUGGUAAUAAGGGAAAACGAGGAAGAGGACCUAGGAGGCGGGGAAGGAUCAAGUUAUGUGGCUUACGAACAAGCCAACAAGGGCGACGAGCAGCAAGGAGAUGUCGCCGACGAGGCAGGGGUAGUGGGAGCUACUGUCGAGUUAUCUCUUAACUCGAUGGUGGGCCUCACGACUCUCGAGACAAUGAAAUUAAAGGGAACAAUUGGGUCGAAGGAGAUGAUAGUGUUGAUCGAUUGUGGGGCCUCACACAAUUUCAUAUCUGAGGGGGUUGUCCGGCAAUUGGGACUCCAACUAACCAACACUACUGGGUAUGGGCUUAUCAUGGGGACCGAUUUCACUAGGGGUGGGCGCGGGUCGGGUCGGUUCGGUUCUAACAAGAACCGAAUCGAACCAAAAUUUUCGGAUAUUUAGUAAAUGAAACCGUCGGGUCCAAAUAUAAUUAUGGAACCGUUCGGGUUCGGUUUCGUUCGGUUC
This 1715-nucleotide long non-coding RNA is filed under the name Olea europaea (common olive). RNAcentral describes it as "long non-coding RNA (OEUR_LNC011348)". The record is from RNAcentral. Lineage: Eukaryota; Viridiplantae; Streptophyta; Magnoliopsida; Lamiales; Oleaceae.